This 21-nucleotide microRNA is filed under the name Glycine max (soybean). RNAcentral describes it as "gma-miR396g". Its record names the gene gma-miR396g. Lineage: Eukaryota; Viridiplantae; Streptophyta; Magnoliopsida; Fabales; Fabaceae. The record is from miRBase by way of RNAcentral.
UUCUUGAACUUCUUAUGCAUC